GAGCAUGUCAGAACCCACCUCCCGCUCCUGUGCACACAGAGAUCUGUCCCCUUAGGGCCCAGGCCACCUCCAGGCAGGACAGAGCCAAUGUCUUACAUUCUGGGUCAGUGAUUCCAGAAAUCAGGGCCAGGUCCCGUUCAGAAUGGCCCAUUAGAUUUUUUUUUUUAAACAAACCUUGGUUCAGUGAAAUAAUGUGCAUGCUUUCAUGGAUAGGCACUGUGUGUGUGUGUGUGGGUGGGCGGACAGCACCCAUGUCCUCUGUGAGAGUCGGUUUCUGCCCCAGGCUUGCCUGUCAAGGGCCAGUGUGACACCUACCACAGGGCAAAGGCCUCUGUGUUUUUGGGGGGGCUGCUGUCACAAGUCCCCACCCCUCACUGCUUUGCCACGAGCCCCAGGGUUACGUUCUCAGAGGACAGACUCCUCGCAGAGUUUGGGGUUCCUUGUGUGACCCACCGCCAGCCAGCUGUACCCAGCAGUUGUCACUUCCCCUGGCCGGAUGCUGGAGAUGGUCUCCAUCCUGCACUGACGGAUUUGGGGAGAAAAAGCGAUGGAAACAUCCAGAACACUCCCAGGAAGCAACUGUGGUCAGAGAGAAUGGCAGGCUUGCUUGAUGGUCACUGACUCAUGUCGUGGGUGGGGAAACCGAGGCGGAGUGGGCAGUGUCUUGCCCGAGCCUCCCAGCACAGGUCUCUGUCCCUCAUAGUGAUCCAGAACCAGAGUCCUGACCCCUGACCCCUGGAUUGCUCUGCCCCCUUUCUGGCCUGAACCCACUCCUGCACCAGCACAGCCGUCCUUGGAGGAGCUGACGUGCCCUGACCACGACUCCCCUCUCUCCUGCUUCCUCCAAAGGGAAAACGAGAAAGAGCGAACAAGAACGACGAGAGGCCAGUUCCAGCUAAUUCCUCGAGAGAGUGAAUAACCUGCCUGUGAGCGCACCUUCCACACGCAAACCGGCCAGUCCAGAGCCCGCAGCCCCAGCCGCCUCCUGUGUCUGACUCUCGCACACCACGCCAACAUUCUCCCGGCCCUAAAUUGUCCCAGGACAACGAGGGGCCACUCCUGUGGCCCCGAGCCCCUGAAAUUGUUCAAAAACACCUUGCUCAACCUUGCCUCCCCUGCCUUGCCCAUUUCUAUUCUUGGAAACCACAGUAAGCCUCCUGCCCUGCUUCCCUCUCUCCCUGCCUCUUGACCAACCCUGGUGCUUCCCCGUGCGGCCCUGCGUGGCGUGGCGUGCCCCCUCCUCUUGGGAACUCCAAGCAAUAAACUCUCCUUUCAAAGGCAGUUGUCCCCACGUCUAUCACCUUCCCAGACCUGAUUAAAACAAAUCCCAGGUAUAUUUUAAAACAGGCUAAAGGUGAAAUAUCAAAUGGCAGGGCUGAGGGAGAAGGCAUCUGCCUGAAUCCUUUAAGUCCUGGGGGGUGCCUGGGCUCCUCUUGUGGGAAAUUUCCAGGCUGGGUGUAUGGUCCAAGGGUCUGCUGCAUCCCUACCGACUGCUGGGCCCUCGUGGUCACCAGAUGGGAACAGGGCCUCGUCUGUGCAUGAGCAAGACUCACAUAUACGUUUGGACUGGUGCAUCAGUCAAGCUGCCAUUCCUGAGAAAGGGAGACCCUGAAACGUUCAGGACACAAAACUGUGUCUGGAAAACCUACAAACAGGCCCAGGACAAUGAUGCCCUUUGCCCCCUCAGGUAUGGGUGGCCAGUGACCUGGAUCCUAAUCUGGGCUGCGCCUCUGCCUUUCUAGAGGAGGUGGGGAUAAUGAUGAUGUGGUAGCAAUAAUAAUAAUAAUUUGAACAGCAGAACAAGCGUCAUCCCCAUUUUGCAGAAGGGG
Molecule: long non-coding RNA, 1829 nt
Organism: Equus quagga
Lineage: Eukaryota; Metazoa; Chordata; Mammalia; Perissodactyla; Equidae
Exons: 3
Source: RefSeq, a predicted model, not a curated record